Molecule: ribosomal RNA, 543 nt
Filed under: Vairimorpha ceranae
Lineage: Eukaryota; Fungi; Microsporidia; Nosematidae
Description: SSU rRNA
Rfam family: Microsporidia small subunit ribosomal RNA
Source: RNAcentral
CCAGGUUGAUUCUGCCUGACGUAGACGCUAUUCCCUAAGAUUAACCCAUGCAUGUUUUUGACAUUUGAAAAAUGGACUGCCCAGUAAUACUCACUUUAUUUUAUGUAAAUUUUUGAUUAAUUAACUACGUUAAAGUGUAGAUAAGAUGUUUACAGUAAGAGUGAGACCUAUCAGCUAGUUGUUAAGGUAAUGGCUUAACAAGGCUGUGACGGGUAACGGUAUUACUUUGUAAUAUUCCGGAGAAGGAGCCUGAGAGACGGCUACUAAGUCUAAGGAUUGCAGCAGGGGCGAAACUUGACCUAUGGAUUUUAUCUGAGGCAGUUAUGGGAAGUAAUAUUAUAUUGUUUCAUAUUUUAAAAGUAUAUGAGGUGAUUAAUUGGAGGGCAAAUCAAGUGCCAGCAGCCGCGGUAAUACUUGUUCCAAGAGUGUGUAUGAUGAUUGAUGCAGUUAAAAAGUCCGUAGUUUAUUUUUUUAAGAAGCAAUAUGAGGUGUACUGUAUAGUUGGGAGAAAGAUGAAAUGUGACGACCCUGACUGGACGAACA